GAAUUGACGGGGGCCCGCACAAGCGGUGGAGCAUGUGGUUUAAUUCGAUGCAACGCGAAGAACCUUACCUGGUCUUGACAUCCACGGAAGUUUUCAGAGAUGAGAAUGUGCCUUCGGGAACCGUGAGACAGGUGCUGCAUGGCUGUCGUCAGCUCGUGUUGUGAAAUGUUGGGUUAAGUCCCGCAACGAGCGCAACCCUUAUCCUUUGUUGCCAGCGGUCCGGCCGGGAACUCAAAGGAGACUGCCAGUGAUAAACUGGAGGAAGGUGGGGAUGACGUCAAGUCAUCAUGGCCCUUACGACCAGGGCUACACACGUGCUACAAUGGCGCAUACAAAGAGAAGCGACCUCGCGAGAGCAAGCGGACCUCAUAAAGUGCGUCGUAGUCCGGAUUGGAGUCUGCAACUCGACUCCAUGAAGUCGGAAUCGCUAGUAAUCGUAGAUCAGAAUGCCACGGUGAAUACGUUCCCGGGCCUUGUACACACCGCCCGUCACACCAUGGGAGUGGGUUGCAAAAGAAGUAGGUAGCUUAACCUUCGGGAGGGCGCUUACCACUUUGUGAUUCAUGACUGGGGUGAAGUCGUAACAAGGUAACCGUAGGGGAACCUGCGGUUGGAUCACCUCCUUACCUUAAAGAAGC
RNAcentral lists this ribosomal RNA (638 nucleotides) under Shigella flexneri. RNAcentral describes it as "bacterial SSU rRNA". It matches the Rfam family "Bacterial small subunit ribosomal RNA", at positions 907 to 1533 of the family's 1533-position model. Lineage: Bacteria; Pseudomonadati; Pseudomonadota; Gammaproteobacteria; Enterobacterales; Enterobacteriaceae. The record is from RNAcentral.